UUUAAUGAGAGUUUGAUCCUGGCUCAGGACGAACGCUGGCGGCGUGCCUAAUACAUGCAAGUAGAACGCUGAGGUUUGGUGUUUACACUAGACUGAUGAGUUGCGAACGGGUGAGUAACGCGUAGGUAACCUGCCUCAUAGCGGGGGAUAACUAUUGGAAACGAUAGCUAAUACCGCAUAAGAGUAAUUAACACAUGUUAGUUAUUUAAAGGAGCAAAUUGCUUCACUGUGAGAUGG
This 237-nucleotide ribosomal RNA is filed under the name Streptococcus agalactiae. RNAcentral describes it as "partial 16S ribosomal RNA". It matches the Rfam family "Bacterial small subunit ribosomal RNA", at positions 1 to 228 of the family's 1533-position model. The record is from RNAcentral. Lineage: Bacteria; Bacillati; Bacillota; Bacilli; Lactobacillales; Streptococcaceae.